CUACGGGUGGCUGCAGUGAGGAAUUUUGCGCAAUGGGGGCAACCCUGAUCCAGCAAUGCCGCGUGUGUGAAGAAGGCCUGCGGGUUGUAAAGCACUUUCGGUUGGGAGGACUGCUUCUAGCACUAAUAUUGUUGGAAGUUGACGUUACCUUCAGAAGAAGCACCGGCUAACUCCGUGCCAGCAGGCCGCGGUAAUACGGAGGGUGCAAGCGUUAAUCGGAAUUACUGGGCGUAAAGCGCGCGUAGGCGGCUAGAUCAGUCGGGUGUGAAAGCCCCGGGCUUAACCUGGGAACUGCAUCCGAUACUGUCUAGCUUGAGUACAGGAGAGGAGAGUGGAAUUCCACAUGUAGCGGUGAAAUGCGUAGAUAUGUGGAGGAACACCAAUGGCGAAGGCAGCUCUCUGGCCUGAUACUGACGCUGAGGUGCGAAAGCGUGGGGAGCAAACAGGAUUAGAUACCCCCGUAGUC
RNAcentral lists this ribosomal RNA (466 nucleotides) under uncultured bacterium. RNAcentral's name for it is "partial 16S ribosomal RNA". It matches the Rfam family "Bacterial small subunit ribosomal RNA", at positions 339 to 795 of the family's 1533-position model. The record is from RNAcentral.